Molecule: ribosomal RNA, 261 nt
Filed under: uncultured bacterium
Lineage: Bacteria
Description: partial 16S ribosomal RNA
Rfam family: Bacterial small subunit ribosomal RNA
Source: RNAcentral
UCCUACGGGGCGCAGCAGUAGGGAAUCUUCCACAAUGGACGAAAGUCUGAUGGAGCAACGCCGCGUGAGUGAAGAAGGGUUUCGGCUCGUAAAGCUCUGUUGGUAGUGAAGAAAGAUAGAGGUAGUAACUGGCCUUUAUUUUACGGUAAUUACUUAGAAAGUCACGGCUAACUACGUGCCAGCAGCCGCGGGAAUACGUAGGUGGCAAGCGUUGUCCGGGUUUAUUGGGCGUAAAGCGAGUGCAGACGGGUCAAUAAGGCU